RNAcentral lists this long non-coding RNA (1423 nucleotides) under Homo sapiens (human). RNAcentral's name for it is "TPT1 antisense RNA 1 (ENSG00000170919.17)". Lineage: Eukaryota; Metazoa; Chordata; Mammalia; Primates; Hominidae. The record is from RNAcentral.
CUGGGAACGUGAGUAUCAACCAAGGCUGGAGUGCAGUGGCACCAUCUCGGCUCACUGCAACCUCUGGCUCCCAGGUUCAAGCGAUUCUCCUGCCUCAGCCCCCUGAGUAGCUGGGAUUACAGGCACGCGCCACCACUCCCAGGCUCCGGUAGAUUGCAAAUGACCUGCUUUCUUUCUGUUCCCGGGCGUUUGGACCCCUGUCUUGGACCGCUGUCGGAUAGUAAAUCCCAAGUAAGGUACCUGCCGUCGGCAGAUUUGAGCUUUCUUCUUGGACACCUAAUACCCAGAGUCCUCCAGGCUCCGGUAGAUUGCAAAUGACCUGCUUUCUUUCUGUUCCCGGGCGGCAUCGGACCCGUCGGAGAGUAAAUCCCAAGUAAGGUACCUGCCGUUGGCAGAUUUGAGCUUUCUUCUUGGACACCUAAUACCCACAGUCCUCCAGGCUCCGGUAGAUUGCAAAUGACCUGCUUUCUUUCUGUUCCCGGGUGGCAUCGACCCGUCGGAGAGUAAAUCCCAAGUAAGGUACCUGCCGUUGGCAGAUUUGAGCUUUCUUCUUGGACACCUAAUACCCACAGUCCUCCAGUAAAUCCCAAGCAAGGUACCUGCCGUCAGCAGAUUUGAGCUUUCUUCUUGGACACCUAAUACCCACAGUCCUCCAGGCUCCGGUAGAUUGUAAAUAACCUGCUUUCUUUCUGUUCCCGGGCUGCGUUCGGACCCCUGUCGGAUAGUAAAUCCCAAGCAAGGUACCUGCCGUCAGCAGAUUUGAGCUUUCUUCUUGGACACCUAAUACCCACAGUCCUCCAAGCUCCGGUAGAUUGCAAAUGACCUGCUUUCUUUCUGUUCCCGGGCUGCGUUCGGACCCCUGUCGGAGAGUAAAUCCGAAAAAAACAAACAAAGACAUGGAUUUACUGUGCAUAUUAGCAGAUCCAUACUGGAAAAUGCAUGGAGGUUUCAUAUACACCACUUACAGUUUUCAGCUCCUCAGUAGUGACAAAGCCAUACCCAUCAUUGUCGAUUCGAUCAACAAUCUUCCCUAGCCUCUCCUUGCUCUCGUCCGGGGUGAGCUCGUCGAAGUUCUUGGAGUCCUCCUUGCCCAGGAAGGCCUCGUGGUCGUACUGGAAGCUCUGGUUGUCCUCAGGGGGCCGCUCGCCCAGCUCCGAGUCGGGCCGCACCACGCGCUCUUUGCGCACCGUGGGCUUGGCCCGCAGAACCCGCGGCGCCAGCACCAGCGCCAGCAGCAGCCCCAGGGCUAACCCCAGGCGGCCACCGCGCGCCAUCGUCCCGAGGAGAGGGCGGCCGGGAGGGAGACGCUGAGCGAGCGACAACAGCGGCAGCUCGGGAAUGGGGGCUCGGAGCGCGGCGGCCAAGUUUUAUGUUAUGUAUAUUUUACAAGUAAAAAAAUUUUUUCACCUCAGCCUGAACUGAA